GGGUUUCUGGCUGCUCUGAUCGCCCUCAACACACAUCCAGGUCCUGUGGCUUGUGUGGUCGAAGGAGGUGGACACACGUGCCCUUAAAUAGGGCUGUGGUGUAGUCUGCGGGGGCAGGCUCUGCUUCUGGGUGUUCUCAGAUUGGGCAUGUCUCCUUAGAGCCUCAGUUUUGUCCUCCAGAAAAUGGGUCUGUGUAGCCAUGUUGUCCACGGAUGGCUUCCAUGGCCUCUGGGGUCAGCACAUUGUGGCCUUGUAGACAGAGUGGUGGCAGUGCUCCUGGGUGCCUUGUGAGGAGGUUCAGAGCCUGCUGGUGGCUGCCAUGGUGGGGCUACGGUGUCAGGCUGUCCCCCUCAGCUGUGCCGUCUCCAGGGGUGGCUAGUGGUUCUGUGCUAUGGUGCUGACCCCACGUUCUCUGUAGAAGCCACUAGCAUGUUCAUUGUUCAUCAGAGCCAGAAUGGCUGAGCCCUUGACUUCCCAGAUCAGUGACUUGUCUCUGGGCCUUAGUGUCCCCAUCUGUGAAAUUGGCAGGGUAUCAGGGUGGGCCAAGAGGGGCCAGAGCUGACAGGCCCUGAGGGUCCCGAGAAUGGGCCUGGCAAUGCUGGGGCUGUGUCGGUGUGGACCCCCCUCCCCCCACCACCUCUGGGAAAUGGUCCAGCCUCCCCGCCCCCGGGCCCAGCACAGAGGCCGUCCAGCCAGCACGGCGCCCACAGGAAGGCUGAGGCUGGGGUGGCAUCUGAGCGCCUUUUGCCUGCUUGCUCCCGUUUAUCUUGACCCCAGCCCUAAGAGGUGGGUCUUGUUUCUGGCUGUUUUGUGGACAAAGCGAGGAGCAGAGGCCGAGGAUGGCCCAAGUCCUGGAGCUGGUGACCUGGGCCUCUCGGCUCUUGCCUCCGAGGUCCUGCUGAGGCCCCACCACUGACAUACAGCUUCUUUGCACCCAGAGCUCCAGGUCAUGACUCAGGGAGGGAACAAAUGGCAUUUCUAACGAAGGACCCGGGUGCACAGGGACAGUUGAAUAUGAGGACAGCUGGGCCCAGAGGCUGAGACCCUGGGCAGUGGGCUGCCAGCCCUGCCCCUACCCCUGCCCUGGAUGGGGUGCUGAGGGGCCUGAGUGUCUGGCCCUGGUGUUCAGAAACUGACCAGGGGCAGCCCCAGACCUCAUCAGGCCCCCGACCUGGGAGCCAGGCACUCCCCUCGGGGCUCCUGCCUGGGAACCCUGCCCCUCGGAGGCAUCAGACCUUCCUCCGAGCUCCCAGCCCUCGGGUGAGGCAGGCCUGGAGGAAGGGCCCGGCUGGACCCUCAGCACCCGUUCCCAGGAGGGGAGGAGCUGCCCCCCUUCCUCUCGCAGGCGAGCUCCUAUUUUCAGCGGCUCAGAGGCGUGCUCUCAGGGCCUGUGGGCAUCGUCUGGCUGCCCGGGCACAGGGGGUGCUGCCCGCCCCCUGAGGGGGCCUCAUUGUUCUUCUGUCUUCCAUGUCCACUCUGUCAUUUCUGGUGUGGAGUUCGCCGUGGGGUGCAAAAGAGGCUUUAUUGAAAUUGUGUGAUUUUCCCCUCCUUUAAUUUUGAUGAAAUAUGCAUAACAUAAAAUCCAUCGUUUUAACGGCUUUAAAGUGCACAGUUGAGUGGCAGUCAGAACUCAGUGUUGUGCAGCCAUCACCACCGCCUGGUCCCAGGACUUCUCACCACCCAGAUGGAAACUCUGUGCCUUUAGCAGUCACUCCCCAUUCCGCCAAGCACCCACCGGUCUGCUUUCUUUCUCUACGGACUUCCCGGGUUUGGACUUUAGCGUGAAUUGAAUUGUACAGUAUGUGCCCUUCUGUGUCUGGCUGCCCUCACUCGGCGUGGUGCCGUCAAGGUUUAUUCAUGCUGUGGCGGGUGCAGGGCUUCCUGCCCAUGGCUGAGUGUUGCUCCGCCGUAUGGACGUACCACAUUCUAUUGAUGGACACUUGGGUUGUUUCCACCUUUUUUUUUUUUUUUGGCUGCUAUGAAUAGUGCUGCUGUGAACAUCUGUAUAGAGCUGCACAGGUUUUUUAACCACACACGAGGCCCUGGCAUCUCAGCCAUUGGGAGUGAUGCUGCUCAGGGGCCCCCAAACCGGGGGAGCUGGGGGCUCCAUGCACACAUCGCAGGGCUACCGGCCUGUUCUGUGUCUUCUGUCAUCAUGGCAGCCCUGUCCUCGGCUCCCUCCCUGCUACCAGGGAACCGGGAGUCGGCUGGGUUGGAGGCUGCCGCCCUCCCCAGCUCUCCCUUUGGGAAGGGCAGACCCGGGGGCUGGGAGGACGGCCAGGGAUGACUCACUGGCUGAGACAGGAGUGCGCUCCACCGUCUCAAGGUUGGGUCUUCAGUGGCGGCAGUGAGCUCAUCCGGGUCCUGCCCACGGAGACGGGAGCGAGCGAGUCCCCUGGGCACCGAGCGCGCCAAGGCCCUGCUCAGUGACAUUUGUGAUAAUGUGAUGAGCGCCAGUGUGCUCGUCUGCCGUGAAUUACAGCAAUCUGGACAAUUACCGCUCAGGGUGGCUGCUAAUGGCUGUGUGUUCCAGUCGGCGGGAGGGGCGCAGGGCAGAGGGGCAGGUGCCUGUAGCCCCCAGCGACUUCUCCAUAGUGGGCAGUGAUGGGAGGCAAGGAACGUUCUCGUGCCCCCAGCCUCAGGAACCCAGGACGGUACCCCAGAACCAGCUGUGCCCAAGGCAGAUGGCGCCCACGUGUCCUCCUACCCAUCUUUACAUCGACCUAGUGCCUCACUCCAUGCAGGACAGGGGUACCCAAGACAGGCCAGCCGUGGUCUCUCCCUCAGGGAGCUUGGGAGGUGAGCAGGCAGAUAUCCCCAGAGGCUUGGGACCACUUGCCUGCCCUGAGCAUCCUGGAAGACUUCCAGCAGCCAGGCCUUGUAGGAUUGAACCGCAGAGCAUCCCCAAUCCCCAGAGAGAAAGCAGACCUCAGCCUCUGGACCUUUUAUCUCUGAGACCUCAGGCAAGCCAGUCUACCUCUCUGUGCCUCAGUUGCUUCAUCUGUACCAUGGGAAUUAGAGUAUCACCUCUGUGUUAGUUUCCUGGGGCUGCCGUAACAAGGUACAAACGUAGGUGGCUUGAAAACGACAGAAGUGUUUUCGCUCACAGUCCUGGAGGCCGUUAAGUCUGUCUUAAGUCUGGCAUGAAGACGUCGCAGGGCUGUGCUAUCUCUGAGGGCUCUAGGGGAGGGCCCUGCCUUUGCUCUUCUGGCCUCUGGGGUUUCUGCUGGCCAUCCUCGGCGUUCCUUAACUGGUAGACAUUCCAAUCUCUGUCAUCGUUUUCACAUGGCUGUCUUCCCUCUGCGCAUCUCUGUCCAAAUUUUCCUCCUCUUAUGAGGAUCCACCCUAAUCCAGUGUGACCUCAUCUCAAGUUGAUCACAUCUGUAAAGACUCUUUUUCCAAAUAAGGUCACAUUCACAGGUUACAGGUGGGCGGACAUGAAAUUGGGGGGGGGGAUGACACCAUGUAUCCAGUACAGUCACAUUUCUGGGGUUUCCGUGAAAGAGUUUGGAAGCGUGAUGUCUUCGGCACUGAGUCCCCGUCACUGUUUGUCAUGAGAACCAGCUCUUCAGGCUUGCGACUCUGGCCUGGCCUGGCCCUGUCUCGGCCCCAUUUUCCCUCGUCCCCCGAAGUGCCGUCGCCAAGGGGCGUUGUGAGGGUGGCAUGAGCCAUAUUUGUGCGUAUACAGUAGGUGCUCAGAAGUGGCAGCUUGCAGUUCCGCACGCAGACUGUGGAGCCUUUCUCCCUGGGUUUGAGUCGCGGCUCUGGCCCUUAUGAGUGUGUGACGCUGAGCAGGUGGCUGUACCUCUCAGAGCCUCGACCCCCUACCUGUGCUGCUGGGGGUGGGUUGGAGGUGAGUGACCUGCUAGGCAGGUGCAAAGUGACACUUGGAAGAGGUUUCACAGCGCGGGGGGAAGGCCCUUGGGCUGACACCCAAAGCACAAAAUAAUAGUAAGUAAUACUAUUAUUAGUACCCCUGGGUGCCAGGUUCUGCCAAAGGCUUCGUGUGUUUUGAGUCACAUCAUCCCCACCAACCUUGUGAGGCAGAUGCUAUUACUAGUUUCUGUAUCCAGAUGAUGAAACUGAAAUCCAGAGAGGGUAUGUGAGCUGCCCAAGGUCACACAGCUUUUAAUCGGUGGGGCUGGGAUUUGAGUCCAGGCACUCUAGUGACAGGGUGGGAUGGGGCUGGUGUGAGGUGAGUCCACAGGCCUGGCUGCUGUUAAUCAGAUAAUGAGGGAGGGAGGGGCACCCCAGCAAAGGAGUGGCACAUGCAAAGGCACUGUAGCAGGGGCAGCGUGGUCAAGCAAGAACUGGUUGAAACUCAGCGAAGGGGAGAGAGGUGAGGGGUGGAGAGGCCAUUGGGAGGGCCGUCCCCCAGCCUUACCAGUUUGGCUAUUACUGUAAGAGCAUGGGGAGGGCCAUUACAUAGGGAAGGGUGGAACGGGGGUCAGGAGAGUGGCAGGGCUCCAGGUAGGCAGGUGGGCACCUGCUCUUCUUAUGUGCAUGGAGUCAGGGCUGCCUGCCCUGGGGCUCACACCGAGUGGGGGCUGAGCGUGUGCUGGGCAGCCCUGGGGAGUUGGCUGCCUGCCUUCGGGCCCAGCGCCACUAGGCUGGAACUUGAGGCUCUGGUUCCCCUGGGAAAGGUCAGCCUGGACUGGCUCACAGUCUUGACCCAGCUGUGUGGGAGGCCCAGGGCUCUGCUGGCGACUCUUCCUGGUCCCCAGCCCCUUUCUCUGGUAGACAGGGUGCCAGCUGUGGUGGGGCAGGGAAGCCCCCAGGCACACCAUUCCAGACUAGAAAUAGGCACUGGCCCAGCUCCGCACCACCAGCCCCUCCCUGGCCUCCAGUGGCCUGCCUGGUGGAGAGGGAGAGGGUGCUGCAGGGGCCAGGCCUUGAGGCCUCACAUAAGGUCCAUCGGGCCAGGUGCAGGCCAGGUGGACCCCAGAACUCCCCCGCGGUAACUCCAGCCUGACUCUGUCCAUGGGACUCGCCCCCUUUCUCGGGGAGUGAAGGAGAAACCACUAACGGCUCUGCGCCUCCGCAGAGCUUGUGCACACUGGCUGGUUUAAUUAGUUUUCACGGAUGGAGAGGCUGAGGCUCGGGGAGGGGAGGUGUGAGGCUCCAGCCACAGAGGUUGGAAAUGCAGGGCCUCCCCAUCCACAUGUCCAUCAUCAGAGCCGCACACCACCCUCACUGCAGGGACCACGGAAGAGCGGUGACCUGUGUGCUUAGUCUGAACAGCAGCGUACACACCCGCCAGGGCUCACGGCAGGCAGUGUGGUGCCAUGGUUAGUGCACGGGGUUGGCCGCUGACACACUGUGGUUCAGGGUCACUUCGGAGUAUUGACAUCAGUGAGCGUCCCACAGGAGACAGGGCCAACGCUUGGAGUGGGGACAGUUGAUGGACAGGCAUGGGGUGGCGUUAAAGGCUGUCAGAAGGGACCGUGCGGUGUCCCAGCGCCAAUUUCAGUGGGGAGUGUCGCCACCUCGGCUGGAGAGGGACUGCUGAGCUUCAUCUUCGGUGCACUGCCCCACGCCCUGGAUGCUUUUGGCAUGUGGGACAUAGGCUGCUGUGAUGGGAAGCAGAAGUCGGAGAGAGCUGGGAUUUCUGCAUGAACCCAGGGGACAGCCAAGGCGGGCUCCAGACCCCUCUCUUGUUCCUUACCAGCAGCUUUGAAGGUGAAGUCAGGCCUCUCCCAGCCCACUGGCACUCCCCGGAGCAAAAGCCACACACGGGCGUUCGCGUAGGGGAGGGAGACACGUGGCACGCUACACAGUCAUGAUGAUGCCCGUUACCACCUGGCAGGUGCUUGCUGGUUCCCGCACUUUGCGUGAAUGAGCUUACGUAAUCCUCCCAAGGGAUCCUUGAGGCGAGUUUUCCAUAUUUGUGAACACACGUGUGUGCACACAUGUACGUGCACACACACGCCUUCUGCUUUGCAGAUGAGGGGGCUGAGUGAUGAGCUGGGGCUUGCGCAGCAAAUAAUGUGGAGCCACUCGGCCCCAGGAGUGAACCGCUUGGCUGUGCUCUAUGAGAAAACCUGACAUCGAACGCGUAAGGCGGCGUUUUCCAAAAGUGAUAUAAUCGCUGAAGCUGAGGCAAAUUUUGAAAAGAGACGGAAAGAAAAGGUGCUGCAAGGACUCCCCCGCCCCCAGGACGUCAGAGCCUGCCAGUGGUGGGGCGGGGCUGGCUGUCGGUGCAGGCUUGCAG
Long non-coding RNA from Camelus dromedarius (Arabian camel), 6211 nucleotides. RefSeq lists it as uncharacterized. NCBI's taxonomy places the organism in Eukaryota, Metazoa, Chordata, Mammalia, Artiodactyla, Camelidae. The record is from RefSeq and is a predicted model, not a curated record. The transcript is spliced from 3 exons.